This 1328-nucleotide ribosomal RNA is filed under the name Chloroflexota bacterium. Its description in RNAcentral is "bacterial LSU rRNA". It matches the Rfam family "Bacterial large subunit ribosomal RNA", at positions 681 to 1950 of the family's 2925-position model. The record is from RNAcentral. Lineage: Bacteria; Bacillati; Chloroflexota.
GUCUGAAGAGGGCGCAUUAGUGGCAGGGAGUAGACACGAAACCAGGUGAGCUACCCAUGGCCAGGCUGAAGCGAGGCUAACCCCUCGUGGAGGGCCGAACCUUUCGCUGUUGCAAAAGCGUGGGAUGAGCUGUGGGUAGAGGUGAUAUGCCAAACGAACCUGGAGAUAGCUUGUUCUCCCCGAAAUAGCUUUAGGGCUAGCCUCGCGUGUUCAGUACCGGAGGUAGAGCACUGGAUGGGCUAGGGGGCUUACUGCUUACCAAACCCAACCAAACUCCGAAUGCCGGUACUCUACAGCGCGGGAGUCGGACUACGGGAGAUGAGUUUCGUAGUCGAGAGGGAAAGAGCCCAGACCGACGGCUAAGGUCCCCAAGUUCAGGCUAAGUGGGAAACGAGGUGGGACUGCCCGGACAGCCAGGAGGUUGGCCUAGAAGCAGCCAUCCUUUAAAGAGUGCGUAACAGCUCACUGGUCGAGCGGUCCUGCGCGGAAAAUAUAACGGGGCUCAAGCCUGACACCGAAGCCACGGGCCUCCGCAUUAGCGGGGGUGGUAGGGGAGCGUUCUGCAGGCAGAGAAGCCGUACCGUGAGGAGCGGUGGAGCGUGCAGAAGUGAGAAUGCCGGCAUGAGUAGCGCAAAACACGUGAGAACCGUGUUCGCCGUAAGUCUAAGGUUUCCGACGGAAGGUCAGUCCGCGUCGGGUUAGUCGGGCCUAAGCCGAGGCCGAAAGGCGUAGGCGAUGGACAUCCGGUUAAUAUUCCGGAACCACCUGAGAGGAGCGAUGGGGGGACGCAGCAUGGUAGGCCAGCCCGUUACUGGAUUCGGGUGCUAAGCCUGUAGGGCGAUGAUGGGGGUAGGGAAAUCCGCCCCCGGAGCCUGAGAGGUGAUGGCGGUGCCUUGAGCCAGAAGUGGUCGAGCCAGGCUGCCAAGAAAAGCCUCUAAGCGGUGAAUCUCGGGUGCCCGUACCGCAAACCGACACUGGUAGACGGGUAGAGUAUACCAAGGCGAACGGGAGAACCCUCGUUAAGGAACUAGGCAAAAUGACCCCGUAACUUCGGGAGAAGGGGUGCCCCGGUAGGGUGAGGCAAAUAUGCUGAGCCCGAGGGGGUCGCAGUGAAAUGGCCCUGCCGACUGGUUACCAAAACCACAGGUCUCUGCUAACUCGCAAGAGGAAGUAUAGGGGCUGACGCCUGCCCAGUGCCGGAAGGUUAAAGGGAAGGGUUAGCCUCCUCCGGGAGGCGAAGCUCUGAACUGAAGCCCCGGUGAACGGCGGCCGUAACUAUAGAGUGGACCGCUGUAGUUACGCUAAUAAACCUGGCUAUAUGCUGGAAA